This 490-nucleotide ribosomal RNA is filed under the name uncultured bacterium. Its description in RNAcentral is "partial 16S ribosomal RNA". It matches the Rfam family "Bacterial small subunit ribosomal RNA", at positions 30 to 507 of the family's 1533-position model. The record is from RNAcentral.
AUUGAACGCUGGCGGCAGGCCUAACACAUGCAAGUCGAACGGUAACAGAAAGCAGCUUGCUGCUUUGCUGACGAGUGGCGGACGGGUGAGUAAUGUCUGGGAAACUGCCCGAUGGAGGGGGAUAACUACUGGAAACGGUAGCUAAUACCGCAUAACGUCGCAAGACCAAAGAGGGGGACCUUCGGGCCUCUUGCCAUCGGAUGUGCCCAGAUGGGAUUAGCUAGUAGGUGGGGUAAAGGCUCACCUAGGCGACGAUCCCUAGCUGGUCUGAGAGGAUGACCAGCCACACUGGAACUGAGACACGGUCCAGACUCCUACGGGAGGCAGCAGUGGGGAAUAUUGCACAAUGGGCGCAAGCCUGAUGCAGCCAUGCCGCGUGUAUGAAGAAGGCCUUCGGGUUGUAAAGUACCUUCAGCGGGGAGAAAGGGAGUAAAGUUAAUACCUUUGCUCAUUGACGUUACCCGCAGAAGAAGCACCGGCUAACUCCGUG